UAAAGUUUUAACGCUUUGGGAAAGGCCUGUGCGAUAUCAGCUAGUUGGUAGUGUAAUGGACUACCAAGGCUAUGACGUCUAGGGGAGGUGAGAGCCUGACCCCCACCGAUGG
This 112-nucleotide ribosomal RNA is filed under the name Candidatus Nomurabacteria bacterium CG10_big_fil_rev_8_21_14_0_10_35_16. Its description in RNAcentral is "partial 16S ribosomal RNA". It matches the Rfam family "Bacterial small subunit ribosomal RNA", at positions 202 to 316 of the family's 1533-position model. Lineage: Bacteria; Candidatus Nomuraibacteriota. The record is from RNAcentral.